RNAcentral lists this transfer RNA (74 nucleotides) under Nippostrongylus brasiliensis. It matches the Rfam family "tRNA". Rfam says of the family: Transfer RNA (tRNA) molecules are approximately 80 nucleotides in length. Their secondary structure includes four short double-helical elements and three loops (D, anti-codon, and T loops). The record is from Rfam by way of RNAcentral. Lineage: Eukaryota; Metazoa; Nematoda; Chromadorea; Rhabditida; Heligmosomidae.
GUCUCAGUGGCAUAGUGGUUAGCGCCCGAGCCUCGGUUGAGCUCGAGACGAGGGUUCAAAUCCCGCCUGAGGUG